GACGGAGCAACCCCGCGUGAGUAUGAAGGUUUCGGAUCGUAAAGCUCUGUUGUUAGGAAGAACAAGUGCGAGAGUAACUGCUCGCACCUUGACGGUACCUAACCAGAAAGCCACGGCUAACUACGUGCCAGCAGCCGCGGUAAUACGUAGGUGGCAAGCGUUGUCCGGAAUUAUUGGGCGUAAAGGGCUCGCAGGCGGUUUCUUAAGUCUGAUGUGAAAGCCCCCGGCUCAACCGGGGAGGGUCAUUGGAAACUGGGAAACUUGAGUGCAGAAGAGGAGAGUGGAAUUCCACGUGUAGCGGUGAAAUGCGUAGAGAUGUGGAGGAACACCAGUGGCGAAGGCGACUCUCUGGUCUGUAACUGACGCUGAGGAGCGAAAGCGUGGGGAGCGAACAGGAUUAGAUACCCUGGUAGUCCACGCCGUAAACGAUGAGUGCUAAGUGUUAGGGGGUUUCCGCCCCUUAGUGCUGCAGCUAACGCAUUAAGCACUCCGCCUGGGGAGUACGGUCGCAAGACUGAAACUCAAAGGAAUUGACGGGGGCCCGCACAAGCGGUGGAGCAUGUGGUUUAAUUCGAAGCAACGCGAAGAACCUUACCAGGUCUUGACAUCCUCUGACAACCCUAGAGAUAGGGCUUUCCCUUCGGGGACAGAGUGACAGGUGGUGCAUGGUUGUCGUCAGCUCGUGUCGUGAGAUGUUGGGUUAAGUCCCGCAACGAGCGCAACCCUUGAUCUUAGUUGCCAGCAUUCAGUUGGGCACUCUAAGGUGACUGCCGGUGACAAACCGGAGGAAGGUGGGGAUGACGUCAAAUCAUCAUGCCCCUUAUGACCUGGGCUACACACGUGCUACAAUGGACAGAACAAAGGGCUGCAAGACCGCAAGGUUUAGCCAAUCCCAUAAAUCUGUUCUCAGUUCGGAUCGCAGUCUGCAACUCGACUGCGUGAAGCUGGAAUCGCUAGUAAUCGCGGAUCAGCAUGCCGCGGUGAAUACGUUCCCGGGCCUUGUACACACCGCCCGUCACACCACGAGAGUUUGCAACACCCGAAGUCGGUGAGGUAACCUUUAUGGAGCCAGCCGCCGAAGGAGAACUAGAGGAGU
Molecule: ribosomal RNA, 1096 nt
Filed under: Bacillus safensis
Lineage: Bacteria; Bacillati; Bacillota; Bacilli; Caryophanales; Bacillaceae
Description: bacterial SSU rRNA
Rfam family: Bacterial small subunit ribosomal RNA
Source: RNAcentral